RNAcentral lists this ribosomal RNA (706 nucleotides) under Escherichia coli. Its description in RNAcentral is "partial 23S ribosomal RNA". It matches the Rfam family "Bacterial large subunit ribosomal RNA", at positions 524 to 1230 of the family's 2925-position model. The record is from RNAcentral. Lineage: Bacteria; Pseudomonadati; Pseudomonadota; Gammaproteobacteria; Enterobacterales; Enterobacteriaceae.
CCCCGGCGAGGGGAGUGAAAAAGAACCUGAAACCGUGUACGUACAAGCAGUGGGAGCACGCUUAGGCGUGUGACUGCGUACCUUUUGUAUAAUGGGUCAGCGACUUAUAUUCUGUAGCAAGGUUAACCGAAUAGGGGAGCCGAAGGGAAACCGAGUCUUAACUGGGCGUUAAGUUGCAGGGUAUAGACCCGAAACCCGGUGAUCUAGCCAUGGGCAGGUUGAAGGUUGGGUAACACUAACUGGAGGACCGAACCGACUAAUGUUGAAAAAUUAGCGGAUGACUUGUGGCUGGGGGUGAAAGGCCAAUCAAACCGGGAGAUAGCUGGUUCUCCCCGAAAGCUAUUUAGGUAGCGCCUCGUGAAUUCAUCUCCGGGGGUAGAGCACUGUUUCGGCAAGGGGGUCAUCCCGACUUACCAACCCGAUGCAAACUGCGAAUACCGGAGAAUGUUAUCACGGGAGACACACGGCGGGUGCUAACGUCCGUCGUGAAGAGGGAAACAACCCAGACCGCCAGCUAAGGUCCCAAAGUCAUGGUUAAGUGGGAAACGAUGUGGGAAGGCCCAGACAGCCAGGAUGUUGGCUUAGAAGCAGCCAUCAUUUAAAGAAAGCGUAAUAGCUCACUGGUCGAGUCGGCCUGCGCGGAAGAUGUAACGGGGCUAAACCAUGCACCGAAGCUGCGGCAGCGACGCUGAUGCGUUGUUGGGUA